GUCCUCUAGAAUAUAAUUUGAGGUUUAACCUGCCCACUGAAAUUUUAAAUGGCCGCAGUAAUUUGACUGUGCAAAGGUAGCAUAAUCAUUAGUUUUUUAAUUAAAAGCUUGUAUGAAGGGUUGGACGAAGUAAAAUCUGUCUCUAUUUAAUUAAAAUUAGAAUUUAAUUUUUAAGUCAAAAAGCUUAAAUUUUAUUAAAAGACGAGAAGACCCUAUAGAUCUUUAUAUUAUUUAUAUUAAUUUUAUUUAAGAAUAAUUUAUUUUUUAUUAUAAAUAUUAUUUUAUUGGGGUAAUAGAAAGAUUAAAUUAAUUCUUUAUUUUUAUACAUUGAUUUAUGAUUAUAUGAUCCAAUUUUUUGAUUAAAAGAUUAAGUUACCUUAGGGAUAACAGCGUAAUUUUUUUAAAGAGUUCAUAUCGAUAAAAAAGUUUGCGA
This 433-nucleotide ribosomal RNA is filed under the name Acilius mediatus. RNAcentral describes it as "partial 16S ribosomal RNA". The record is from RNAcentral. Lineage: Eukaryota; Metazoa; Arthropoda; Insecta; Coleoptera; Dytiscidae.